GAUGAACGCUGGCGGCGUGCCUAAUACAUGCAAGUCGAGCGAACGGACGAGAAGCUUGCUUCUCUGAUGUUAGCGGCGGACGGGUGAGUAACACGUGGAUAACCUACCUAUAAGACUGGGAUAACUUCGGGAAACCGUAGCUAAUACCGGAUAAUAUUUUGAACCGCAUGGUUCAAAAGUGAAAGACGGUCUUGCUGUCACUUAUAGAUGGAUCCGCGCUCCAUUAGCUAGUUGGUAAGGUAACGGCUUACCAAGGCAACGAUGCAUAGCCGACCUGAGAGGGUGAUCGGACACACUGGAACUGAGAAACGGUCCAGACUCCGAGGGGAGGCAGCAGUAGGGAAUCUUCCGCGAUGGGCGAAAGCCUGACGGAGCAACGCCGCGUGAGUGAUGAAGGUCUUCGGAUCGUAAAACUCUGUUAGUAGGGAAGAACAUAUGUGUAAGUAACUGUGCACAUCUUGACGGUACCUAAUCAGAAAGCCACGGCUAACUACGUG
RNAcentral lists this ribosomal RNA (497 nucleotides) under uncultured bacterium. RNAcentral describes it as "partial 16S ribosomal RNA". It matches the Rfam family "Bacterial small subunit ribosomal RNA", at positions 28 to 507 of the family's 1533-position model. The record is from RNAcentral.